UGAAAUUAUUUUUGUAAUAGGAAGUGCUGUCAGAAGCGAUAACUGACGAUAGCUACUCCUGGCUGAUG
Molecule: small nucleolar RNA, 68 nt
Organism: Tupaia belangeri (northern tree shrew)
Lineage: Eukaryota; Metazoa; Chordata; Mammalia; Scandentia; Tupaiidae
Source: Ensembl